Molecule: ribosomal RNA, 468 nt
Filed under: uncultured bacterium
Lineage: Bacteria
Description: partial 16S ribosomal RNA
Rfam family: Bacterial small subunit ribosomal RNA
Source: RNAcentral
GACGAACGCUGGCGGCGUGCUUAACACAUGCAAGUCGAACGGAAAGGCCCUGCUUUUGUGGGGUGCUCGAGUGGCGAACGGGUGAGUAACACGUGAGUAACCUGCCCUUGACUUUGGGAUAACUUCAGGAAACUGGGGCUAAUACCGGAUAGGAGCUCCUGCUGCAUGGUGGGGGUUGGAAAGUUUCGGCGGUUGGGGAUGGACUCGCGGCUUAUCAGCUUGUUGGUGGGGUAGUGGCUUACCAAGGCUUUGACGGGUAGCCGGCCUGAGAGGGUGACCGGCCACAUGGGGACUAAGAUGCGCCCGAGACUCCUGCGGGAGGCAGCAGGGGGGAAUAUGGCACAAUGGGCGGAGGCCUGAUGCAGCAACUCCGCGGGGGGGAGGACGGCCUGCGGGUUGUAAACCGCGUGCCCCUGGGAAAAAGCGUGAGUGCCGGAGUGGGGUAAAGAAGCACCGCCUACCUACGUC